Molecule: ribosomal RNA, 1182 nt
Filed under: Triticum aestivum (bread wheat)
Lineage: Eukaryota; Viridiplantae; Streptophyta; Magnoliopsida; Poales; Poaceae
Description: partial small subunit ribosomal RNA
Source: RNAcentral
AUGGCUAAACCAAUUGUUAGAGAUCUUGCCCACAUAGAGGGCUCUCCUGCCCCUGGUCAUCUCCUCGUGUUCGACAGUGUACUAUUACGCGCCGAUCGCACUGGCCACCCCGACAAGAUCGAAGGCUUUGCUCCCGUAAAGGAGCUCACUGGCCCGAAGGUAUCAACCCUAAGGCCAAUUAACUUGCAAGGAUCAAGCAUCCCUCAAAGCCCAGCCCUAGAGCCGGGCUCCGGUAGAUUGCCCGCUAAAUCCCCUUCCGAAUUGUCGGAGUGUUCGACACCUCCCCGUGCCCAGUCGAUAGACCACUUAAUAAACCUAUACCGUGCGAUGGGGAUCUCUGUUACCAGGUCUAUGGCCUACGAUAAGAUCGGGCUUAAAACCGACGACUGUGAAAUCAACACCCCUCCGGUCACGCACCUCAUCGCCACCGUCGAAGAAGCCCAGGAGGGACCACAACCUCAUAAGCUGAGGACGAUAUAUACUCGAGUAUCUAGCUCAGAUUCAGAUACCAACCCGAAGGCACAUCCGGAGUCGGACCUCGGUGCAGAAUCUAGCCUUGAGCUAAUUCGGCUGCACGAAAGUCCAGAUCCGGGUCGGGCGCGGUCCAAAUCGGACAUAGCACAACCGACCAUCAAGGACGGCCACGGCCCGCGCCAGACGCGCACUAGUCCGGAUCCGAACCACGCAAGGUUAGAGCCAGAUGUAACUCAACGACCCAUCAAGGAUAGCCCGGGUCCGCGGCAGGAGGGGAUCCUCAAAAUUUUCCCAUCCUCCCACCACGCGGAAUACUCUCCGGAUUCAAGAAGCCCAGAUAUAUGGGACCUCAUGUAUGUCAAACAGCUACCAAACGAGACAACCCACCACUAUUGGGCUAGAUUUCUCCUGGUAAAGAACAGGAUGGCGUCUUGCUGUGACAAAGAAAUAGUCAAAGCCUUCCAGUUUAACUGCAGGGAUGAGGGCCUCCUAAACGCCCUCGCGCGUUGCCGAAUUCAAUGCUUCACCAAACUAUUGGACAUGGUACGCAAAUAUUGCGCCAUGGAGAACACAUGGAGAGCGCAACAGAUGAACAUAGAGCCAAACCCCGCUGCACACCACGGAAGGCCUCGCUUUAAACGGGCUUACACAAACGGUCACCGGAGCAUGAGCCUAAUGAAAAGAAAACCAGACCUAGAUCGGUGUUAG